This 240-nucleotide ribosomal RNA is filed under the name uncultured bacterium. Its description in RNAcentral is "partial 16S ribosomal RNA". It matches the Rfam family "Bacterial small subunit ribosomal RNA", at positions 105 to 334 of the family's 1533-position model. The record is from RNAcentral.
CCGGCACGGUGAGUAACACGUAUGCAAUCCACCUGUAACAGGGGGAUAACCCGGAGAAAUCCGGACUAAUACCCCAUAAUAUGGGCGCUCCGCAUGGAGAGCCCAUUAAAGAGAGCAAUUUUGGUUACAGACGAGCAUGCGCUCCAUUAGCCAGUUGGCGGGGUAACGGCCCACCAAAGCGACGAUGGAUAGGGGUUCUGAGAGGAAGGUCCCCCACAUUGGAACUGAGACACGGUUCAA